GCUCAGUUGGUAAAGCACAAGGCUCUUAACCUUGUGCUCGUGGAUUCAAGUUCCAU
Molecule: transfer RNA, 56 nt
Filed under: Triticum aestivum (bread wheat)
Lineage: Eukaryota; Viridiplantae; Streptophyta; Magnoliopsida; Poales; Poaceae
Rfam family: tRNA
About the family: Transfer RNA (tRNA) molecules are approximately 80 nucleotides in length. Their secondary structure includes four short double-helical elements and three loops (D, anti-codon, and T loops).
Source: Rfam by way of RNAcentral